Molecule: ribosomal RNA, 468 nt
Filed under: uncultured bacterium
Lineage: Bacteria
Description: bacterial SSU rRNA
Rfam family: Bacterial small subunit ribosomal RNA
Source: RNAcentral
GACGAACGCUGGCGGCGUACUUCAUGCAUGCAAGUCGAACGAGGUCCAUCCGGUAGCAAUACUGGUGAAGACCUAGUGGCGAACGGGUGAGUAACACGUGAGCAACCUGCCCCGAAGACUGGGAUAACAGCGGGAAACCGCUGCUAAUACCGGAUAUCCCCAAGCUCUCGCAUGGGAGUUUGAGGAAACGAAUUUUGCUUCGGGAUGGGCUCGCGGCCUAUCAGCUUGUUGGCGGGGUAAUGGCCCACCAAGGCUUCGACGGGUAGCUGGUCUGAGAGGAUGAUCAGCCACAUUGGGACUGAGACACGGCCCAGACUCCUACGGGAGGCAGCAGCAGGGAAUCUUGCGCAAUGGGCGAAAGCCUGACGCAGUAACGCCGCGUGGGGGAUGAAGGCCUUCGGGUUGUAAACCCCUUUCAGCAGGGACGAAAUUGACGGUACCUGCAGAAGAAGCUCCGGCCAACUACGU